This 497-nucleotide long non-coding RNA is filed under the name Eucalyptus grandis. RNAcentral describes it as "long non-coding RNA (EGRA_LNC005248)". Lineage: Eukaryota; Viridiplantae; Streptophyta; Magnoliopsida; Myrtales; Myrtaceae. The record is from RNAcentral.
GGAUUGAGCCCUCACAAUAAAGUAGAUCUGGCAAAUAAAUCGCUUCGAAUUCUUUCUCAAACUAGAUAACCCGACAAGUUACAUGGAAUUAGUUAGAUGAUUAAGACUUGUGUUUUAUCCAUUUCCUCAUCUCAGAUUGGCCUUUCUUCAUGCCUCCUCUCAUCGUGAUUACUCCGAUUCGGGGGAAUCUAGGCGGUGCAACGUGGCAAGGGUUGAGGGGUCGCUCCCUAUGCCACUUGAGCAACGGUCAAUAAUUUUAGUAAGUUGGAGGAUUUAAUGACACAAAGAGUGAAACUUAGAGAGUUGAAUCGGAGGUAACCUGCUAAGAAAAAAUAUAGAUGCUUUUUCCUUGGAUGCAUGAGGCCCCUUAUAUCAAAAUAUAAUCUUCUUCCACAAGGUGCUUUCUAUAAUUGCAUAAAGCAACAGCUUUAAUUAAAAAGAAUUCCACGGUGCGUUUUGGCAGAAGUCUUCCAUGUUUGGUAAUAAAUCUCUCGUGA